UGGGGAAUAUUGGACAAUGGGCGCAAGCCUGAUCCAGCCAUGCCGCGUGAGUGAUGAAGGCCUUAGGGUUGUAAAGCUCUUUCGCCGGUGAAGAUAAUGACGGUAACCGGAGAAGAAGCCCCGGCUAACUUCGUACCAGCAGCCGCGGUAAUACGAAGGGGGCUAGCGUUGCUCGGAAUCACUGGGCGUAAAGCGCACGUAGGCGGAUCGUUAAGUCAGGGGUGAAAUCCUGGAGCUCAACUCCAGAACUGCCCUUGAUACUGGCGAUCUCGAGUUCGAGAGAGGUUGGUGGAACUCCGAGUGUAGAGGUGAAAUUCGUAGAUAUUCGGAAGAACACCAGUGGCGAAGGCGGCCAACUGGCUCGAUACUGACGCUGAGGUGCGAAAGCGUGGGGAGCAAAACAGGAUUAGAUACCCUGGUAGUCCACGCCGUAAAACGAUGGAUGCUAGCCGUUGGGGGGUUUACCUCUCAGUGGCGCAGCUAACGCCUUAAGCAUCCCGCCUGGGGAGUACGGUCACAAGAUUAAAACUU
This 531-nucleotide ribosomal RNA is filed under the name uncultured bacterium. RNAcentral describes it as "partial 16S ribosomal RNA". It matches the Rfam family "Bacterial small subunit ribosomal RNA", at positions 355 to 902 of the family's 1533-position model. The record is from RNAcentral.